Molecule: RNA transcript, 2187 nt
Organism: Portunus trituberculatus (swimming crab)
Lineage: Eukaryota; Metazoa; Arthropoda; Malacostraca; Decapoda; Portunidae
Exons: 7
Source: RefSeq, a predicted model, not a curated record
UAAGACUAUUUUUAAGAUUACAGAAAGAUUUUAUUGGCUAGGCAUAAAGAAAGAUGUCAUGAAAUGGAUAAGUGAAUGUGAUAAAUGUCAAAGAUCCCAGAAGAUAAAAACUGUAGGACAACUUUUGAAACCAAUUAAGACUGAAGGCCCUUGGCAGAUGGUUGGUGUAGACUUAAUAGGCCCCCUAACAGAGAGCCAAUCAGGCAACAAGUACAUCCUCACUUUGACAGAUUUAUGGUCCAAAUUCAUAGAGGCAUUUCCAUUCCCUUCAAAAUCUGCUGAUCUUGUUUGUGAUGUGUUACAGAGUAUUUUUUACCGUUUUGGUCCCCCAGAGAAAAUUUUAACUGAUCAGGGAAAGGAAUUCUGCAAUAGAUUAAAUGAUCAGCUCUUUUCCAUUUUUGGAGUAAAGCACUUAGUUACACUUGCAUACCACCCCCAGACUAAUGGUCAAGAUGAAAGAACCAACCAGAUGCUGAAGGCUGUUUUGACUAAAUUAGUCAAUGAAAAUCAAGAUGACUGGGACAGACAUUUAGAGGUUGCUUUAUUUGGUAUCAGAACUUCAGUGCAAGCUUCUACAAAGUAUUCCCCCUUUUUCUUGAUGUUUGGUAGACAGCCAAGACUGUUCAUUGAACUUCAAGAAAAUGAUAAUGAAGAAUCCAGUAUUUUAGAGUUCCCAAAUUUGAAUCCAUCUGAUGAUGCAAUAGAAUCUAGAAUCAACUCUAUCAAAGCUGUCAAAGAAAAAGUUGACAAUAAUAUUGCUGAAGCUCAAGCUAAACAAAAAAGUAUUAUGAAAUGAGGAAGACCAAAGGAUAUAAGUCAUUCAACUUCAAAAUUGGAAUGAAAGUUCUUAUAAAGAAUAAUAAAAAGCAAGGAAGGAAAGGUUCCCGGCUUGAGGAGGACUGGCUCGGACCUUAUGACAUACACAGUAUCUUAGAUAACUGUGUUCACAUUAAACCAUAUAAAUUGCCCAGUUUUGCACAGAAGCAUGCACAAGUUUGUGACCAAAUAUUGCUGCCAUCAGCUGCAAGAAAUGGUUCUCCCAUAUUUUCUGUCUUUUCAGAAUCCACGGCAUCUGGAGAGGAGCCUCAAGGCAACUCUUCCCCACCUACAGACCGUGGUGAUGUGGGGCAGCAGCCUGACAUGCUCCUUUCUAAAGGGUCACAGCAUGUCACAACAUUGCCCGUCACCACUGUUGAAUCCACGGCAUCUGGGGAGAAGCCUCGAGGCAACUCUUCCCCACCUACAGACCGUGGUGAUGUGAGGCAGCAGCCUGACAUGCUCCUUUCUAAAGGGUCACAGCAUGUCACAUCACUGCCCGUCACCACUGUUGAAUCCACGGCAUCUGGGGAGAAGCCCCAAGGCAACUCUUCCCCACCUACAGACCGUGGUGUGGGGCAGCAGCCUGACAUGCUCCUUUCUAAAGGGUCACAGCAUGUCACAUCACUGCCCAUCACCACUGUUGACUGCAAGCCAACAACACUGACGAGGAAAAGAAAGAUUGUUGACAAGAAAUCAACCACCAAGCGCCAAUGUCAUCACUCUAUCCAACCAGUGCAUCCUCUGAAGCCUCUUGAGAUGCAUUCCAGCUCAAAAAAUUAAGAGGAAAUAUCAAGGAUUCUUUCCUCUUCCUAUGAAUGGCUAGGUUACCAUAUGAGGAUGGUGACAGCAUGAUGGAAUGUGAUCGCUGCAAAAGGUGGUACCAUCAAGAGUGCGAGAACAUUUCAUCUUACCGUUGGCAGAAAUUGGAAGAAUCCAGCAUAGCAUACGUGUGCAGUGUGUGUCACCAAUCUUCAAGAACAAGGCGUGUUACAGAUUAUUGAUAAGUCACAAUUAUCACUGCAUGAAUUUCCUAGUUUUACUUGAUGGGAGUGACAAGAGUGGAAUCCCAGCACAGCACAGCCAGCAUGUCAGCCAUAAAGAGUAUCACCAAGGAAUGCAUAUCAAUAAAAGGGCUACAAAGUGUACUACAAGCCUACAACAAAAAUUAAAGAUAUAUCAAUCGAAAUAACAGCACAAAAUAAAUAGGUGGUCAUUCAUAAAGUCAGUCAAUCUUUUUUUAAAGUAUUGAAUCAGCUUCUGCCACAUAGAUGGGAAAUGAAUUCCAGUCUUUCACCACAGGAUCAUCAUACAAUCCUUACAAUCAUCAUAAAUUAUUGUAAGGAACAAAGAUUUUAUAAUGAUGUGCCA